GACGAACGCUGGCGGCGUGCUUAACACAUGCAAGUCGAACGGAAAGGCCCUGCUUUUGUGGGGUGCUCGAGUGGCGAACGGGUGAGUAACACGUGAGUAACCUGCCCUUGACUUUGGGAUAACUUCAGGAAACUGGGGCUAAUACCGGAUAGGAGCUCCUGCUGCAUGGUGGGGGUUGGAAAGUUUCGGCGGUUGGGGAUGGACUCGCGGCUUAUCAGCUUGUUGGUGGGGUAGUGGCUUACCAAGGCUUUGACGGGUAGCCGGCCUGAGAGGGUGACCGGCCACAUUGGGACUGAGAUACGGACCAGACGCCUACGGGAGGCAGCAGUGGGGAGUAUUGCACAAUGGGCGGACGCCUGAUGCGGCGACGCCGCGUGCGGGAUGACGGCCUACGGGUUGUAAACCGCUGUCGCCGGUGACGAAGCGUGAGUGACGGUAAUGGGUAAAGAAGCACCGGCUAACUACGUG
RNAcentral lists this ribosomal RNA (468 nucleotides) under uncultured bacterium. RNAcentral's name for it is "partial 16S ribosomal RNA". It matches the Rfam family "Bacterial small subunit ribosomal RNA", at positions 28 to 507 of the family's 1533-position model. The record is from RNAcentral.